AACGAACGCUGGCGGCAUGCCUAACACAUGCAAGUCGAACGAGACCUUCGGGUCUAGUGGCGCACGGGUGCGUAACGCGUGGGAAUCUGCCCUUGGGUUCGGAAUAACAGUUGGAAACGACUGCUAAUACCGGAUGAUGACGUAAGUCCAAAGAUUUAUCGCCCAGGGAUGAGCCCGCGUAGGAUUAGCUAGUUGGUGGGGUAAAGGCCUACCAAGGCGACGAUCCUUAGCUGGUCUGAGAGGAUGCUCAGCCACACUGGGACUGAGACACGGCCCAGACUCCUACGGGAGGCAGCAGUGGGGAAUAUUGGACAAUGGGCGAAAGCCUGAUCCAGCAAUGCCGCGUGAGUGAUGAAGGCCUUAGGGUUGUAAAGCUCUUUUACCCGGGAUGAUAAUGACAGUACCGUGAGAAUAAGCCCCGGCUAACUCCGUG
Molecule: ribosomal RNA, 433 nt
Filed under: uncultured bacterium
Lineage: Bacteria
Description: partial 16S ribosomal RNA
Rfam family: Bacterial small subunit ribosomal RNA
Source: RNAcentral